UAUGUGGUUUAAUUCGAUGCAACGCGAAGAACCUUAACCUGGUCUUGACAUCCCGGAGACCCUUAGGAAACUAGGGGGUGCUUCCAUCUGGAAGAAUCUGGAGACAGGUGCUGCAUGGCUGUCGUCAGCUCGUGUCGUGAGAUGUUGGGUUAAGUCCCGCAACGAGCGCAACCCUUGCCUUUAGUUGCCAGCAGUUCGGCUGGGCACUCUAAAGGGACUGCCGGUGUUAAACCGGAGGAAGGUGGGGAUGACGUCAAGUCCUCAUGGCCUUUAUGACCAGGGCUACACACGUACUACAAUGGCCGAUACAAAGGGCAGCGACACUGCGAGGUGAAGCCAAUCCCGUAAAAUCGGUCUCAGUCCGGAUUGGAGUCUGCAACUCGACUCCAUGAAGUUGGAAUCGCUAGUAAUCGUGGAUCAGCAUGCCACGGUGAAUACGUUCCCGGGCCUU
RNAcentral lists this ribosomal RNA (451 nucleotides) under uncultured Desulfobulbus sp. RNAcentral describes it as "bacterial SSU rRNA". It matches the Rfam family "Bacterial small subunit ribosomal RNA", at positions 938 to 1382 of the family's 1533-position model. Lineage: Bacteria; Pseudomonadati; Thermodesulfobacteriota; Desulfobulbia; Desulfobulbales; Desulfobulbaceae. The record is from RNAcentral.